RNAcentral lists this long non-coding RNA (2066 nucleotides) under Sus scrofa (pig). RNAcentral's name for it is "lncRNA (ENSSSCG00000061412.1)". The record is from RNAcentral. Lineage: Eukaryota; Metazoa; Chordata; Mammalia; Artiodactyla; Suidae.
CACUUGUUACCAUCUGAGAUAUUAUGCAUCAUUUAUUUACUUCUUUUUUCCCAAUUCCAAGCCUAAUGAAAGUUUCAUAAAGUAGGGCUUUGUCUCUUUUGCUCUCUGCUGUGUCUUCAGCAACCAGAAAUUUGGCUGACAAUUAAGCACUCAAUAAACAUUCAAUAAGUACUGUUUGAAAAGUGCCUGAACCACUAAAAUAUUUCUUGUUGAAGGUCAUUGGUGACACCACUUAUGAAGGGCAUUAGAAACUUAAUGUUCCAGUGCCUGGCUGCUUCGGUAAAGUGACAUUAGGGUAAAGUGACAUUAGGGGUUUUCUUCUGACCUCGCUCGACUCAGAUAGGAAAUGUAAGGACUCAAUGAAAGGUUUAGAAUGGGUACUGUGGCAAAAGGAACUAGCAACAAAUCAGGGAAUUGUUAGAAUAAAUAGUUCAAAAGAAUCCAGCUGAAGUUGUGGACCAUGUAUUUGUAGAAUAUGGAAUAUGAUGAAAUAAAUUGUAAUUAGUUUGUAAAAUCACACAGUGAGAUACCACAAAAGAAAUUUGUAUAUAUUAGCAUGGAUGAAUAUCCAGUCUCAAGCAUAAUAUUAAGCAAAUAAUAAAAGCUGCAGAAAGAGAUAUAUGCACAGUAUUUACAUAAAGCUUAAAAACACGCAAAAUUAUUGGUUUAAGAUAAUAAAAUUGCAAACAUUUAAUAUGGAGCUUCCUAUGCACCAGGUACUAUUCUAAGAUUUUACCUAUAUUAAAUGAGUUAUUCUUAAAAGAUUGGUACUAUAUAUGUAUAACUGAUUCACUUUGCUGUACACCUGAAACUAACAAAACAUUGUAAGUCAACUAUAUUCCAAUAAACUUUUUUAAAAAAUUGUAAUUAUCAGUCAAUAAGGAAAAUACAGAUAGGAUUGUGCUUCACAUUCAUUUCUUUUAGAGCAAAAAAAGGGUUUUUAUUACUUGGAGAGAGCUGAAAAGAGCUUAACAGUUUUCAAUUGCAACCAUUUUAUCAAACAUUGAUAAGGAAGGUGAGUAUCAUGAAAGGCAAAGACCACAAUGCAUUAGAAUCUUUCUUUUUUCUUGCAUUCUCUUUUAAUAAUUCUGCCAAAAUAUGGCUGUAGGGUGGUAUGAUAUGUGAAGUAAGAAAAUACAGGGACUGAAUUUUCUAGUCACAUUCUUUCAGAAAGAGAAAAUAACAAAUUAUUUCUGUACAAUCCUAUAAAUGCAUGCACAUUCUAACCUGGUACAGGGUUAAGUGUUUAUUGAUAAUUUAAUUACCUACAACUAAGAUUAUAUAUAAUAUGUACAGAUAUAUAUAUAAAUUUUAUAUGAUAAAUUUAAUUACCUAUAACUAUAUAUUGAUAAAUUUAAUUACCUAUAACUAAGUUUAUAUAGAUAUACAUACAGAUAUAUGACUAAAUAUAUUAUUAGAACCUGAGUAUUCACUAUGUGUAAUAGUCCCCACUUGGUAUAGUACAGAAUAAAUACUCAUAGUAAAUACAUGGAAUUAAAUUAUGAAUAAAUCCUUCAAGGCGAAUGCUCCUCUUAUGUAAAGCAUAAGUUUAAUCACAGUAUUCACAUAAUAGCAAUUUUAGUUAGCAUUUUUAUCAGAUUAGAUUAUUUUGAAAAACAUCUUCAUAAAAACAAUGAUUGAGUUUUGAGAGAAAAUUCUAGUUAAUUUUUUUUUAUACAGUUCUUAUAGAGUAUGAAUGUACUUCACAAAAACAACAUACUUCACAAAAACAAUGAUUGAGUUAUGAGAGAAAAUUCUACCAGUUAAAUUGUUUUUUUAAUACAGUUCUUAUAGAGUAUGAAUAUCCCCUGUGCCUUCAGAGGAAAUGAACUAUCAUUGUUUUUAAUGACUGCUUAAAGCAGAUGGUUGCUAUUGCAGUUUUCAUUCGAUUUAAAAAGUUAUCAGAGUUCCUAUUGUAGCUCAGAAGUAACAAAUCCAACUAGUAUCCCUGAGGACAUAAGUUCUAUCCCUAGCCUCAUUCAGUGGGUUAAGAAUCUUGUAUUGCUGUGGUGGUCUUAUAGGCUUGCCGAUUUAACCUCUCCUUCCAUGUGGUGCAUGUGUGGCCC